AACGAACGCUGGCGGCAUGCCUAACACAUGCAGGUCGAACGAGAUCUUCGGGUCUAGUGGCGCACGGGUGCGUAACGCGUGGGAAUCUGCCCUUUGGUUCGGAAUAACAGUUGAAAACGACUGCUAAUACCGGAUGAUGACGAAAGUCCAAAGAUUUAUCGCCAGAGGAUGAGCCCGCGUAGGAUUAGCUAGUUGGUGUGGUAAAGGCGCACCAAGGCGGCGAUCCUUAGCUGGUCUGAGAGGAUGAUCAGCCACACUGGGACUGAGACACGGCCCAGACUCCUACGGGAGGAAGCAGUGGGGAAUAUUGGACAAUGGGCGAAAGCCUGAUCCAGCAAUGCCGCGUGAGUGAUGAAGGCCUUAGGGUUGUAAAGCUCUUUUACCCGGGAUGAUAAUGACAGUACCGGGAGAAUAAGCUCCGGCUAACUCCGUGCCAGCCGCCGCGGUAA
Molecule: ribosomal RNA, 449 nt
Filed under: uncultured bacterium
Lineage: Bacteria
Description: partial 16S ribosomal RNA
Rfam family: Bacterial small subunit ribosomal RNA
Source: RNAcentral